CCUACGGGAGGCAGCAGUAAGGAAUAUUGGUCAAUGGAGGCAACUCUGAACCAGCCAUGCCGCGUGCAGGAAGAAGGCCCUAUGGGUCGUAAACUGCUUUUGUACCAGAGAAAACCACAGUACGUGUACUGUGUUGAUAGUAUGGUAAGAAUAAGCAUCGGCUAACUUCGUGCCAGCAGCCGCGGUAAGACGAAGGAUGCAAGCGUUAUCCGGAUUCAUUGGGUUUAAAGGGUGCGUAGGCGGACUGAUAAGUCAGUGGUGAAAUCUCUCAGCUUAACUGAGAAACUGCCAUUGAUACUGUUAGUCUAGAGUAUAGAUGACGUUGGCGGAAUAUGACAUGUAGUGGUGAAAUACUUAGAUAUGUCAUAGAACACCGAUUGCGAAGGCAGCUAACGAAACUAUAACUGACGCUGAGGCACGAAAGUGCGGGGAUCAAACAGGAUUAGAUACCCUGGUAGUCCGCACCGUAAACGAUGAUUACUCGUUGUUGGCAAUAUGACCGUCAGCGACCAAGCGAAAGCGAUAAGAAAUCCACCUGGGGAGUACGCCGGCAACGGUUGAAACUCAAAGGAAUUGAGGCGNGAGAGNGCGACGGACGACACGAGGGAGGAGG
Molecule: ribosomal RNA, 613 nt
Filed under: uncultured bacterium
Lineage: Bacteria
Description: bacterial SSU rRNA
Rfam family: Bacterial small subunit ribosomal RNA
Source: RNAcentral